This 674-nucleotide ribosomal RNA is filed under the name uncultured bacterium. RNAcentral describes it as "bacterial SSU rRNA". It matches the Rfam family "Bacterial small subunit ribosomal RNA", at positions 94 to 803 of the family's 1533-position model. The record is from RNAcentral.
AGCGGCGGACGGGUGAGUAACGCGUGGGAAAAUGCCCUUCUCUAAGGAAUAGCCUUGGGAAACUGAGAGUAAUACCUUAUACGCCCUUCGGGGGAAGGAUUCAUCGGAGAAGGAUUAGCCCGCGUUAGAUUAGGUAGUUGGUGGGGUAAUGGCCUACCAAGCCUACGAUCUAUAGCUGGUUUGAGAGGAUGAUCAGCCACACUGGGACUGAGACACGGCCCAGACUCCUACGGGAGGCAGCAGUAGGGAAUCUUAGACAAUGGGGGAAACCCUGAUCUAGCCAUGCCGCGUGUGUGAUGAAGGCCUUAGGGUCGUAAAGCACUUUCGCCAGAGAUGAUAAUGACAGUAUCUGGUAAAGAAACCCCGGCUAACUCCGUGCCAGCAGCCGCGGUAAUACGGAGGGGGUUAGCGUUGUUCGGAAUUACUGGGCGUAAAGCGCACGUAGGCGGAUUAGUAAGUUAGAGGUGAAAUCCCAGGGCUCAACCCUGGAACUGCCUUUAAUACUGCUAGUCUUGAGUUCGAGAGAGGUAAGUGUAAUUCCGAGUGUAGAGGUGAAAUUCGUAGAUAUUCGGAGGAACACCAGUGGCGAAGGCGGCUUACUGGCUCGAUACUGACGCUGAGGUGCGAAAGUGUGGGGAGCAAACAGGAUUAGAUACCCUGGUAGUCCACACCGA